This 431-nucleotide ribosomal RNA is filed under the name uncultured bacterium. RNAcentral describes it as "bacterial SSU rRNA". It matches the Rfam family "Bacterial small subunit ribosomal RNA", at positions 30 to 459 of the family's 1533-position model. The record is from RNAcentral.
AUUGAACGCUGGCGGCAUGCCUUACACAUGCAAGUCGAACGGCAGCACGGGAGCUUGCUCCUGGUGGCGAGUGGCGAACGGGUGAGUAAUACAUCGGAACGUACCCUGAAGUGGGGGAUAACGUAGCGAAAGUUACGCUAAUACCGCAUAUUCUGUGAGCAGGAAAGAGGGGGAUCGCAAGACCUCUUGCUUUAGGAGCGGCCGAUGUCGGAUUAGCUAGUUGGUGAGGUAAAGGCUCACCAAGGCGACGAUCCGUAGCGGGUCUGAGAGGAUGAUCCGCCACACUGGGACUGAGACACGGCCCAGACUCCUACGGGAGGCAGCAGUGGGGAAUUUUGGACAAUGGGCGCAAGCCUGAUCCAGCCAUGCCGCGUGAGUGAAGAAGGCCUCGGGUUGUAAAGGCUCUUUCGGUUGGGGGUAAGGAAAAGUUA